RNAcentral lists this ribosomal RNA (253 nucleotides) under uncultured bacterium. RNAcentral's name for it is "partial 16S ribosomal RNA". It matches the Rfam family "Bacterial small subunit ribosomal RNA", at positions 524 to 776 of the family's 1533-position model. The record is from RNAcentral.
UACGUAGGGGGCAAGCGUUGUCCGGAAUCAUUGGGCGUAAAGCGCGCGUAGGCGGCCAGAUAAGUCCGGUGUGAAAGUCACAGGCUCAACCUGUGAAUGCCGCUGGAAACUGUCUGGCUUGAGUCCGGAAGGGGCGAGUGGAAUUCCUGGUGUAGCGGUGAAAUGCGCAGAUAUCAGGAGGAACACCAAUGGCGAAGGCAGCUCGCUGGAACGGUACUGACGCUGAGACGCGAAAGCGUGGGGAGCGAACAGG